GAUGAACGCUGGCGGCGUGCCUAAUACAUGCAAGUCGAGCGAACGGACGAGGAGCUUGCGUCUCUGAUGUUAGCGGCGGGCGGGUGAGUAACGCGUGGAUCACGUACCUAUAAGACGGGGAUAACUUCGGGAAACCGGCUCUAACACCGGAUAAUAUUUUGAACCGCAUGGGUCAAAAGAGAAAGACGGUCUUGCUGUAACUAAUAGCUGGUUCCGCGCUGCAUUAGCUAGUUGGUAAGGUAACGGGUUACCAAGGCAACGAUGCAUAGCCGACCUGAGAGGGUGAUCGCCCACACUGGAACUGGGACACGGUCCAGAGUCCUACGGGAGGCAGCAGUCGGGAAUCUUCCGCAAUGGGCGAAAGCCUGACGGAGCAACGCCGCGUGAGUGAUGGAGGUCCUCGGAUCGUAAAACUCUGUUAUUAGGUAAGAACAUAUGUGUAAGUAACUGUGCACAUCUUGACGGUACCUAGUCAGAAAGCCACGGCUAACUACGUG
This 497-nucleotide ribosomal RNA is filed under the name uncultured bacterium. Its description in RNAcentral is "partial 16S ribosomal RNA". It matches the Rfam family "Bacterial small subunit ribosomal RNA", at positions 28 to 507 of the family's 1533-position model. The record is from RNAcentral.